UCCCCGUUACCGGGGCAGUCUAGCCAGAAAAAUUCAACUGGCUACAAGGGUUGCGCUCGUUGAUGGACUUAACCAAACAUCUCACGACACGAGCUGACGACGGCCAUGCAUCACCUGUCACUCGGCUCAAUAAAGCACUUUCUCCUUUCAGAGAAAUUCCGAGGAUGUCAAACCUUGGUAAGGUUCUUCGCUUACUAUCGAAUUAAACAACACGCUCCACCGCUUGUGCGGGUCCCCGUCAAUUCCUUUAUGUUUUAGUCUUGCGACCGUACUCCACAGGCGGCUUGCUUAACGCGUUAGCUUCGCUACUACCAGGGUCGAUACUGGUAACAGCUAGCAAGCAUAGUUUACGGCGUGGACUAC
Molecule: unclassified non-coding RNA, 363 nt
Filed under: uncultured bacterium
Lineage: Bacteria
Description: contains 16S-23S intergenic spacer region
Source: RNAcentral